AGUAAUGUCUGGGAAACUGCCUGAUGGAGGGGGAUAACUACUGGAAACGGUAGCUAAUGCCGCAUAACGUCGCAAGACCAAAGAGGGGGACCUUAGGGCCUCUUGCCAUCGGAUGUGCCCAGAUGGGAUUAGCUAGUAGGUGGGGUAAUGGCUCACCUAGGCGACGAUCCCUAGCUGGUCUGAGAGGAUGACCAGCCACACUGGAACUGAGACACGGUCCAG
Molecule: ribosomal RNA, 222 nt
Filed under: uncultured bacterium
Lineage: Bacteria
Description: partial 16S ribosomal RNA
Rfam family: Bacterial small subunit ribosomal RNA
Source: RNAcentral